Sitophilus oryzae (rice weevil) is the source of this 697-nucleotide long non-coding RNA. RefSeq lists it as uncharacterized. NCBI's taxonomy places the organism in Eukaryota, Metazoa, Arthropoda, Insecta, Coleoptera, Curculionidae. The transcript is spliced from 5 exons. The record is from RefSeq and is a predicted model, not a curated record.
CGAAUGCGUCCGAUCGCUCCUGUGGCCGACGCCGCGCCGCCCGCGACUCGCGAAUCGCACUGUGUGUCGUCUGUCAGUCUUGCACGCGUCUCUCCGAAGAGAUAGACGCUCUAGACGCCCCCGACUGCCGACGUCGCGACGCUCGUGCCGACGAACAACCGCGUUUCACUCGCUGUUUUGGCCGUUGUUGGAUCGGUCUCGAAAAAAAACAAUAACAUUGUCGGAUAAUUGUGCGUUUUUUUUUCUCGUUAUUUGAGGAGGUUUUUUUUGUUUACCGCUGGUUUUUUGGAAGGAGUUGUUGGAUUUUUCGAUUGGAAGACCGAGUUCUGUGGCACACUGUGUACAAAACUAUUGUUAGAGGUCCUGCAGAAUUGUGCAUCUAAUAUCUAAUAGUCGAAGGUUCCCCAUUAGGAUGAUUUAUUUUGAGUCAGUCCACAAAAACUGCGUUACAUAAGUGUAUACGAAAAAUAUUCACUAUUCAACAAGUAACUAUUGUAGAGUGGAGAUCUUUCCAGAGAAGACUAGAGUUGUGUGAAUCUAACAUAAGGAUAUCGACUGAGAAUUGCUGUGAAAUUAAUUUGCACCAACAGAAGCGGAAGCGGAAAGGUCCUUGAAGGAAGACAAAAUUCAACAUAUCCUGACAUAUCGUCAUGUUAAUUCCUUGGUUUCUUAGCCUUUUCAUAGGCGUAGUAUGGGG